UGUCAGGUUGAGACGCAGGGUGACCUCCGGGGCAGUGGGGGCGCCCACACGCAACACACCUGCCGCAGGAGAGUGUUCACGUGGCGUUAUUAUUAAUUCAUUCUUUACAUUUUUAAAAUAUGGGUUGAUACUAUUAAAUACAUAAGCCCCAUGUCUUAGCAGAAAAGCUCUCAAUUCCAGGCAGGUUUAUUAUAAGAAUAGGCAACCAAAUUUAUUUCAGACAUAAACGUUCCCCAGAUGAGGAAUUUUCUUCAUCAAGCGCCACCACAAGGUUGUCAUUUAUGGAUGUGGGUAAAUAUCUUAACAACUUUUAAAAGAAUUUACACAAAACGUUUCAUGUAGUCCCAUCAUCAAGUUUCAAUGUAUUCAUCACUUUGGUUUAGGACUAAAUACCCGCUUAGAUUAUGACCUUCCCAUUAGCACUAGCUUUACUUUGUUUUUGUUUUGUGCAAUACUGGAAUGCUAAUACUCACUAAAAAGGUGAAUAAUAUCAUAAAUAUUACUCUUAUAAGCAUUGUCAUUGUGAGCAUUUGGGGAUUUCGCUGAUGUCAGCCUGUGCGCAGCUUCAAAGAGCAGUUACCAUGGGUGCAGACUCAUAAUCUUACUCAAAGAUACUUUGGGGUCAGUUCACCUUGCUGCCAAAAAAACAAUUAACCCCCAUGUGGCCAAAGGUGUUAAGAAAAGAACUGAAAUAGAGUGCAUGCCUCUUUGUCUCGUCUCUCUGGGUCUAGAAGUUCAGGACAUCUCUCGUUAUAUCUUCAAUCAAAGCUGACAGUCAUACGGGUGCUUGGCUAAAAAUAGCCACACGGUAAAUAUUAACUGCCAUUUUUUAGAGCCUGAUCCGAACCAACGGGCUGCGAGUGCACCAAUGACGAGACUCUGACGGCGCGAGCUGCUCGGCCAAUGAGAGGGCCGACCAAACAACCCCUGCUCCUCUGUCACCUCUGGCCGAGCGAUCGUCAGCCCAAUGGCGCCCAACGUUUGUCCCGCAGAGACGCAGCUCCAUCAAAUCCUUACAGCUCAUUGCCGACAUUCAGGCAAUGCAGACGCUGUUUACCUCAAAAUUAAAAGUCACGUGAAGGUCGGAAGACAGGCAGCUUUGUGAAACAGCAUCAGGUAUUUUGAUCACACACAGAGGUCAAGCAGCCUUCCCGCCAAGGAGUCUUAUUCUAGGUAUCGUGUGAAUGUGUGAAUGUGCCUGUGUGUAGCACAGUAUCAAAAUACAGCUGGAUUAUCAGCAUAAAUAGAUCCCAUUUUCUUUCCUUCAAUAUGCAAAUAAUAUUUUGACUCAUUUAUGUAAAUAUUAUGCGAUUCUCCCCAACGUCAUGUCAGGAAGGAACGCAACAGUUUAUUUGGAUUUAGUAAUUCCUCAGGUGUGUUUGGCUCAGUUGCAAAUGAGCUGUAAGAGAUGAGUCCAAUUAUCCAAUUAAAAUAAUACACGAGUAACAUUCUGUUCAGACUGUGUAUAUACUGUACAUAUGCAUAUGCUUGUAUAGGCGACAGCUUACCGAGGAAGUAGUUUUGUCCGAGAGGCAGCGAGCGGUCCGGCACCACCAAUCCAUCGGGAGCCUGCAGGAACUGCAGUGUGGUGCCGUUCAAAAUGGAGGAGCGGAGGAAACCCUCUUCAUUCACACACCAAAGCACCGGAGCUCCACUGACAUUCACCACCACCCUUAGUUGGAGAGAGAUGAAGAGGCAGAGGGAGGGAGGGAGGAUGGCGAUCAAACAGGGAAGGAGAAUCAGAGAGAGAGAAAAUAGUUGAAGUUGAAGAUUCUCUGCAGUUUGGACCAAAGCACAAAUUUAUAGCGAAUGUCGAUGAUCCCUAUUUAAUUGGUUCUCAGCUGCUCUUUUAGCUGUCGUACUGCAGGUUUGCAGUAUUUAGGGUUUAAAUGAUGGAUGUUAUCAGGCAAGAUGCAUUGAAAGUAGUACGAAAUGUAACACAAACCGUUAAUAUUUUGUACAUUCAGACAACACUUGAUUAUCUUCCCGAACGUGCUGAAAUAAAACGUCAACAAAAUCAAUAUUAAAGUUGAAAUGAA
Non-coding RNA from Gasterosteus aculeatus aculeatus (three-spined stickleback), 2039 nucleotides. NCBI's taxonomy places the organism in Eukaryota, Metazoa, Chordata, Actinopteri, Perciformes, Gasterosteidae. The record is from RefSeq and is a predicted model, not a curated record.